RNAcentral lists this long non-coding RNA (1842 nucleotides) under Carica papaya (papaya). RNAcentral's name for it is "long non-coding RNA (CPAP_LNC009727)". The record is from RNAcentral. Lineage: Eukaryota; Viridiplantae; Streptophyta; Magnoliopsida; Brassicales; Caricaceae.
ACAGGAUGUAUAAUAUAUGCAUAUACAUACAUAUAGAUAGAUAGAUAGAUAGAUAUAGAGAUGAUGAGAGAGAGAGAGAGAGAUACUACUAAUGGAUAACAAUAUAAAUCAAGGCAUGCACGGGGGCGCUCCCUGUGUGCACUACUUUGAGCUGAUCAUGUAUAACAUUUAAGACUGUUUCAUAAAUACACCUCUUCAAAUCUGCAUGGACACAGACGUGCACGGACAUGGAAUAUCCAACUAGUGAAUAGUCUACCUCUUGCCUUUUAAAUAAAAUGAAAUUUGAACCACUCCAUGUAUGCAAAUAUCUCAUAUCCCGCCUAUAAAAGAGAAUAAAAAAUAUAAAAAGAACAAAAAUAGACCCAAGAAAUCAGGAGGAAAAAGAACAGUUCAUUAUAAAUGGGGUGCAACUCAAUUCUCCUUCUCUAAAUGAGAAUUUAGUUACCAAACUCCACUAAGACUUAACCAUUUAAUGACUCAGUUAAUUAUAGUUCCUGUGUGAAACGUUCGAUUAAAAAUGAACUUCUAAAUCAGGUGAUAAUUAUUUUCUCACUGGUUGUCCAACACUAAUUCUAAGCACUCGAAGAGAGACAGAAAGGAAAAUUCUAGUUUUAUCUUGCUGAACAUCGGCAAGCUGUAAAACCUGUAGUAGUAUACAUACAUAUAUACUUCCAUAUGAAAUGGAUAUAAUUAUGGUAUAACUGGACUGGCGCAGCAGAGAAUACAGUGUGUAUUAGUCAUUAUUACUUACAAGGUAAAUGCAGCCAGAUUGCUCCCCAGUAAGAUUGCUUUUGUACGUCGAAAAUCCUGAUUAACACUGUCCAACUUGGCACAAAUUCAGAAUCAGAGGCAGUCUACAAUAUGGCAUAAAAGAGUAAAUGAGGUCGUAGGCCAUGUACUGAAUGGCCUAAAGGCCUAUAUAAAGGGAUCUCUUAUUGUUCUUUCAGAAUUACAGAAGAAAAGUUAUUUUCGGUAUGUCAUGUGUGAUUCUAACAGCAACAGAAAGAAUUUCCAUCGUACACUUGUAAAAUUCACGAUCCAAAAAUAAGUUUUGCAAUAUCAGCAGUAAUUUUUCUUUCUUUUUUUUGGAGAAACAUGCAUCAUACAAUAAUGAACCCAAAUCUGGUAGAUCGUGAGGCCUACCUUCAUAAAUCAAGCCAUGUAGCAAAAAUAAAUUCUAUCAGUCACAAUUUCCAACCUGAAUAAUCAAAAACUCGAAUUCUAUCAUAUCCAUGGUAUAAAUAUUUAUUUACAAAAAGAAAAAGAAAAAGAAAAAGAAAAAGAAACCAUAUUCAUCAAGUAGCACCAAGUAUGCUUGUCUUAGUGCUGAACUAUGUGACUCAUCGCGUGAUUUCCAACAAUUCAGCUACAUUAGUAAAUCUAUAUACUAUAAUAAGGAACUUUUGAGAGCUUUAGGACUAUAAGUUCAAAACUGAAAGGUGGGAAUUAGCAAUUGAAGAACUAGGAUCAAGGACCAUCUUAUUAUCUGAAAAAGGGGUCCACCACGAAGCGCUUACAAAUUGAUCAGAGUUAACUUAUUGCAAUCCAUGUACAAGGAGUCUACAAAUUAACUAAAAUAAAGCAACUGCGACAUGAUUACAGAACUGCAACUAUUGGUCAAGGGACACAACACAACCAUACCAAUGGAAAAUGACCAUGAUGUUGAAAGUGAUGAAAAAUCUCAUCUGCUCCCUGUAAAUCACCCCCUUCAAAUCAUCUAAUGAGAAGCUCCGGCAAAGGAACUCAAUGAACUGAUCACAGAUUCGUAAACCUUGAUUCCUUUCAGGUAUAUGGUGUCCUUAAGGAACUGUAGAACAUAGUUAAGUAAGAAAAGAACCAANN